AUACGGAGGGGGCGAGCGUUGUUCGGAUUUACUGGGCGUAAAGGGUCCGUAGGCGGUUGCGUAAGUCUGGUGUGAAAGCUUCGCCGCUCAACGGGAAGCGGUCACUGGAUACUGCGCAACUUGAGUGUGGUAGAGGCAAGCGGAAUUCCUGGUGUAGCGGUGGAAUGUGUAGAUAUCAGGAAGAACAUCGGUGGCGAAGGCGGCUUGCUGGGCCAUUACUGACGCUGAGGGACGAAAGCGUGGGGAGCAAACGGGAUUAGAAACCCCAGUAGUCC
RNAcentral lists this ribosomal RNA (275 nucleotides) under uncultured bacterium. RNAcentral describes it as "partial 16S ribosomal RNA". It matches the Rfam family "Bacterial small subunit ribosomal RNA", at positions 523 to 796 of the family's 1533-position model. The record is from RNAcentral.